Molecule: ribosomal RNA, 1233 nt
Filed under: Triticum aestivum (bread wheat)
Lineage: Eukaryota; Viridiplantae; Streptophyta; Magnoliopsida; Poales; Poaceae
Description: partial small subunit ribosomal RNA
Source: RNAcentral
AUGGAGGAGAUGGGGGAGGAGAGCAGCAGGUAUCCAUGGCAGGACUACGACCUGGGCUUCGGGGAGGAGCUCAUGAGGGAGCUCCUCGACCAGACGACGACGGCGCCAACGCCAUCGCCAGCAGCAAUGGCGGCCGGCGCCGCGAGCGCUGAUAACUCUUCUUCUUCCGAUAAGGGGAUCGGUGACGAGGAGGAAGGGGCGGCGGGGCGCCGGGAGUCCAUGGAAAACAGGCUCAUGUCGACGGUCUACUCCGGGCCCACCCUCAGCGACAUCGAGAGCGCCCUCUCCUUCACCGGCGCCGGCGCCGGCGACCCGCUGGACGGCCGCAGCAAGUACCACUACAGCCCCUCCAGCCCAGUGUACGUCCCUCGUAUCUAUGCCAACAACAACCAUAUACAAUUCUCCGUAGAUGCAAGCUCAAUUUGGACAUCUGUGUGGAAAUUCAGGGUUUUCUCGCCGGAGAAGGUGCUGGGCAAGAUGGAGAACAAGUACACGAUGAAGAUCAAGAGCUGCGGCAACGGGCUCGCCGACGAUGGGUACAAGUGGAGGAAAUACGGCCAGAAAGCCAUCAAGAACAGCCCCAACCCAAGGAGUUACUACCGUUGCACGAACCCGCGGUGCAACGCGAAGAAGCAGGUGGAGCGCGCCGUCGACGAGCCGGACACGCUCGUCGUCACCUACGAAGGCCUCCACCUCCACUACACCUACUCCCACUUCCUCCAGCAGCAGACCAACCCUCCACCCGCCGCCGCCGCCGCCGCCUCAAGCUCCAAGAAGCCCAAGCUGCACCCCACCGCCGGCGCCAUUACAGUUACAGACUCCCACCACGGGAGCACCCCUGUGCCAACAACCUCGCCCCCGUCUGCCGCCGUCGUGCCUGCCGGCGCCGGGGACAGCAGCGGCGACAGCGGCGGUAACGUGACAGCCGACGCGGGCUUCCUGCUGGAGCACGCGGUGCCCAACUGCUCGCCGUAUCUCUUCGACGGCGGCUUGCUUAGUGAUGCCGGCGAGGAGCGGCGGAUGCCGAGCGACGCCGGCGGGCUCCUGGAGGACAUGGUGCCGCUGAUGGUCCGGCGGCCGUCGUGCAACUCGGCGGCCACCACCGCCAGCUCGUCGACGACGCUCGGCUCGCCCCCGGCACCGAUGUCCUCGCCUUCUCCCUCCACGUCGUCCGUGUCCUGGACCCCCGCGUCGCCAUACAUCGACAUGGCCGUCCUCUCCAACAUCUUCUAG